GAUGAACGCUGGCGGCGUGCCUAAUACAUGCAAGUCGAGCGAACGGACGAGAAGCUUGCUUCUCUGAUGUUAGCGGCGGACGGGUGAGUAACACGUGGAUAACCUACCUAUAAGACUGGGAUAACUUCGGGAAACCGGAGCUAAUACCGGAUAAUAUUUUGAACCGCAUGGUUCAAAAGUGAAAGACGGUCUUGCUGUCACUUAUAGAUGGAUCCGCGCUGCAUUAGCUAGUUGGUAAGGUAACGGCUUACCAAGGCAACGAUGCAUAGCCGACCUGAGAGGGGGGUCGGCCACACGGGAACUGAGACACGGUCCAGACGCCUACGGGAGGCAGCAGUAGGGAAUCUUCCGCAAUGGGCGAAAGCCUGACGGAGCAACGCCGCGUGAGUGAUGAAGGUCUUCGGAUCGUAAAACUCUGUUAUGAGGGAAGAACAUAUGUGUAAGUAACUGUGCACAUCUUGACGGUACCUAAUCAGAAAGCCACGGCUAACUACGUG
Molecule: ribosomal RNA, 497 nt
Filed under: uncultured bacterium
Lineage: Bacteria
Description: partial 16S ribosomal RNA
Rfam family: Bacterial small subunit ribosomal RNA
Source: RNAcentral